RNAcentral lists this unclassified non-coding RNA (636 nucleotides) under Hevea brasiliensis (rubber tree). The record is from RNAcentral. Lineage: Eukaryota; Viridiplantae; Streptophyta; Magnoliopsida; Malpighiales; Euphorbiaceae.
CCCUAAUAAAGUCUUUCUUCUUCGCAUUUUUCCAGGGCAAUAGAACGAGAGAGCAUGUCAGCCUCCUCGACUCAUUUGAUGCUCUACUGUUUAUUCCUCAAAGCCUAAAAGCAUAGCUGAUUCACUUCGAGAAUUUCGGUGAGUAUCCUCCAAUGUUUGGUAUUUUCUGUUCAAGAUUUGCUUUGAAUAAGCGUCUUUCCCUGUUGCUCUCAAAUGCCCAACUGGGUGUUCUUUCUUUUUACUCAUCAUUCGUAAUCAGAUCCUUUUCGUCUUCCACAUCUUCUAAUUUGAAUGAGCAUUCAUUUGUAGUCUCAUAUCUCAUAAAUUCAUGUGGAUUAAACCUAAAAUCUGCUCAAUCUAUCUCAAAGAGGAUAUGUUUUGAAACCACUGAAAGACCAGACUCUGUACUUAGGCUUCUCUUCUCAGGGAACAUGGAUUCACCAAUUCCCAAAUCUGCAAAAUUGUUAGGAGUCGACCCAAGGUGCUUCUAGCGAAACCAGAAAAGACACUCUUACCCAAGUUUGAGUUUCUGCGUUCUUUAGGGGUUUCAAGGUCAGACAUGGCCAUAAUUUUUUCUAGGAACCCAUUUUUGUUGGCUCGGAGUAUAGAGCGAUAUCUGAUCCCACGUUGUGAGGU